Molecule: ribosomal RNA, 488 nt
Filed under: uncultured Desulfosporosinus sp.
Lineage: Bacteria; Bacillati; Bacillota; Clostridia; Eubacteriales; Desulfitobacteriaceae
Description: bacterial SSU rRNA
Rfam family: Bacterial small subunit ribosomal RNA
Source: RNAcentral
AAACUCAAAUGAAUUGACGGGGCCCGCACAAGCGGUGGAGCAUGUGGUUUAAUUCGAUGCAACGCGAAGAACCUUACCUGGGCUUGACAUCCCGGGAAUCCCCUUGGAAACAAGGGAGUGCCCUUCGGGGAACCUGGAGACAGGUGGUGCAUGGUUGUCGUCAGCUCGUGUCGUGAGAUGUUGGGUUAAGUCCCGCAACGAGCGCAACCCCUACGUUUAGUUGCUAACGCGUGAAGGCGAGCACUCUAGACGAACUGCCGUUGACAAAACGGAGGAAAGUGGGAUGACGUCAAAUCAUCAUGCCCCUUAUGUUCUGGGCUACACACGUGCUACAAUGGCCGGUACAGACGGACGCAAAGCCGCGAGGUGGGGCAAAUCCUAAAAAGCCGGUCUCAGUUCGGAUUGCAGGCUGCAAUUCGCCUGCAUGAAGUCGGAAUCGCUAGUAAUCGCAGGUCAGCAUACUGCGGUCGAAUACGUUCCCGGGCCUU